Molecule: ribosomal RNA, 253 nt
Filed under: uncultured bacterium
Lineage: Bacteria
Description: partial 16S ribosomal RNA
Rfam family: Bacterial small subunit ribosomal RNA
Source: RNAcentral
UACGGAGGAUCCAAGCGUUAUCCGGAAUCAUUGGGUUUAAAGGGUCCGUAGGCGGGCAAAUAAGUCAGUGGUGAAAGUCUGCAGCUCAACUGUAGAAUUGCCAUUGAUACUGUUUGUCUUGAAUUGGUGUGAAGUGGUUACAAUAAGUAGUGUAGCGGUGAAAUGCAUAGAUAUUACUUAGAAUACCGAUUGCGAAGGCAGAUCACUAACACUAUAUUGACGCUGAUGGACGAAAGCGUGGGUAGCGAACAGG